RNAcentral lists this unclassified non-coding RNA (212 nucleotides) under Senecio brigalowensis. RNAcentral describes it as "partial contains external transcribed spacer and 18S ribosomal RNA". The stretch from base 148 to 212 matches the Rfam family "Eukaryotic small subunit ribosomal RNA", at positions 1 to 65 of the family's 1831-position model. Lineage: Eukaryota; Viridiplantae; Streptophyta; Magnoliopsida; Asterales; Asteraceae. The record is from RNAcentral.
GUUGCUUGGUUUCGUGGAUACAGAACAUGAUUUGGGCAUAGGGUUACUUGUGACUCUUGUUCUGUCCUUUAUCAGUGUUCUUUAUAACGACGGUUCAUGCGCGCCUAGGCUCGUACCUGCGCGAUGUUCUUUGUCGAAGAGGAAUGCUACCUGGUUGAUCCUGCCAGUAGUCAUAUGCUUGUCUCAAAGAUUAAGCCAUGCAUGUGUAAGUA